AGAGACAGCAGUAGCCACGGUAAUACGAAGGAGGCUAGCGUUGCUCGGAAUUACUGGGCGUAAAGGGAGCGUAGGCGGACAUUUAAGUCAGGGGUGAAAUCCCAGAGCUCAACUCUGGAACUGCCUUUGAUACUGGGUGUCUUGAGUGUGAUAGAGGUAUGUGGAACUCCGAGUGUAGAGGUGAAAUUCGUAGAUAUUCGGAAGAACACCAGUGGCGAAGGCGACAUACUGGAUCAUUACUGACGCUGAGGCUCGAAAGCGUGGGGAGCAAACAGGAUUAGAUACCCCGUAGUCCCUGUCUCUUAUACA
RNAcentral lists this ribosomal RNA (309 nucleotides) under uncultured bacterium. RNAcentral describes it as "partial 16S ribosomal RNA". It matches the Rfam family "Bacterial small subunit ribosomal RNA", at positions 504 to 808 of the family's 1533-position model. The record is from RNAcentral.